AUGCUUAGGAAAAUGUACCAAGGUGGUUCUUCAAGGAAGCAAGGACCCAGGCUUGCAAUGCGUGGUGCUGAUGAAGAGCCACCAAGAGACGCUCCAGUGCGUCCUUGUGAAUGGCCUUCGAAAAACUUUAUGGAUCGAGCGGGAGUUAAGGAAGAAUUUAACGCAUAUUUGCGUAACACUGAUCUUGUGAGCUUCGAGGAAGAGAAGUGCAGCCAGUAUCACUAUCUCACUAGUUCCUUUGUGAGAAGGUUUGAAUUUUCAUCUUCAUGCAAUUCUCCAACUGUCCUGUUUGAUCUUUAUGAAAAUUCUUACACUAUGGAGUUAGAGGAUUUUACCACUGCUUGCAAACUUCCACAAUGGGGUAGUGUCAGGGAACCUCGCAAAUCUGAAUUUAGAGAUUUUCUUGCUAGUAUAACUGUGGGGGAAUCUAGAGAUAUAACACAAGCUACCAUAGGGAGCAUUCACUUUCCUGCUAUACAUUAUUUUGCUCUCUUCAUAGGUAGAUGCAUUAACGGUAAAGAUGAGACAUGUCAAUGUGUGUCCCUGACCUCAGUAUUCUUAGGAGUGCUGUGUUAG
RNAcentral lists this ribosomal RNA (576 nucleotides) under Triticum aestivum (bread wheat). RNAcentral describes it as "partial small subunit ribosomal RNA". Lineage: Eukaryota; Viridiplantae; Streptophyta; Magnoliopsida; Poales; Poaceae. The record is from RNAcentral.